Molecule: non-coding RNA, 29 nt
Filed under: Mus musculus (house mouse)
Lineage: Eukaryota; Metazoa; Chordata; Mammalia; Rodentia; Muridae
Source: RNAcentral
UAUUGUAUUGUUUUGUGGUGUUUGCCUGU